CCUACGGGAGGCAGCAGUAGGGAAUCUUCCACAAUGGGCGAAAGCCUGAUGGAGCAACGCCGCGUGGGUGAAGAAGGUCUUCGGAUCGUAAAACCCUGUUGUUAGAGAAGAAAGUGCGUGAGAGUAACUGUUCACGUUUCGACGGUAUCUAAACAGAAAGCCACGGCUAACUCCGUGCCAGCAGCCGCGGUAAUACGUAGGUUGCAAGCGUUAUCCGGAUUUAUUGGGCGUAAAGGGCACGUAGGCGGUCUUUUAAGUCUGAUGUGAAAGCCUUCGGCUUAACCGGGGUAGUGCAUUGGAAACUGGGAGACUGGAGUGCAGAAGAGGAGAGUGGAACUCCAUGUGGAGCGGUGAAAUGCGUAGAUAUAUGGAAGAACACCAGUGGCGAAAGCGGCUCUCUGGUCUGUAACUGACGCUGAGGUUCGAAAGCGUGGGUAGCAAACAGGAUUAGAUACCCCUGUAGUC
This 465-nucleotide ribosomal RNA is filed under the name uncultured bacterium. Its description in RNAcentral is "partial 16S ribosomal RNA". It matches the Rfam family "Bacterial small subunit ribosomal RNA", at positions 338 to 795 of the family's 1533-position model. The record is from RNAcentral.